UUUCUGUGGCGGACGGGUGAGUAACGCGUGGGUAACCUGCCCUAUACAGGGGGAUAACAACCAGAAAUGGUUGCUAAUACCGCAUAAGCGCACAGGACCGCAUGGUCCGGUGUGAAAAACUCCGGUGGUAUAGGAUGGACCCGCGUUGGAUUAGCCAGUUGGCAGGGUAACGGCCUACCAAAGCGACGAUCCAUAGCCGGCCUGAGAGGGUGAACGGCCACAUUGGGACUGAGACACGGCCCAG
This 244-nucleotide ribosomal RNA is filed under the name uncultured bacterium. RNAcentral describes it as "partial 16S ribosomal RNA". It matches the Rfam family "Bacterial small subunit ribosomal RNA", at positions 90 to 334 of the family's 1533-position model. The record is from RNAcentral.